AGCGCAUCUAUUAGAUUAAAACCAAUCGGGUUUCGGCCCGUUUGUUGGUGACUCUGAAUAACUAUGGCUGAUCGCAUGGUCUAGAACCGGCGACGUGUCUAUCAAGUGUCUGCCUUAUCAACUGUCGAUGGUAGUUUAUGUGCCUACCAUGGUUGUAACGGGUAACGGAGAAUAAGGGUUCGACUCCGGAGAGGGAGCCUGAGAAACGGCUACCACAUCCAAGGAAGGCAGCAGGCGCGCAAAUUACCCACUCUCGGCAUGAGGAGGUAGUGACGAAAAAUAACGAGACCGUUCUCUAUGAGGCCGGUUAUCGGAAUGGGUACAAUUUAAACCCGUUAACGAGGAUCUAUGAGAGGGCAAGUCUGGUGCCAGCAGCCGCGGUAAUUCCAGCUCUCAAAGUGUAUAUCGUCAUUGCUGCGGUUAAAAAGCUCGUAGUUGGAUCUGCGCCUCAGGACCUGGUCCGCCCACUGGGUGAGAACUGGGCUCCUGGGCUAGUUCUGCUGGUUUUCCCUGCGUUGCCUUCAUCGGUAGCGUAGGGUGGCUAGCGAGUUUACUUUGAAAAAAUUAGAGUGCUUCACGCGGGCUUAUGUCUGAAUACUCGUGCAUGGAAUAAUAGAAUAGGAUCUCGGCUCUAUUUUGUUGGUUUUCUGAUCUGAGAUAAUGGUUAAGAGGGACGGACGGGGGCAUUCGUAUCGCUGCGUGAGAGGUGAAAUUCUUGGACCGUAGCGAGACGUCCGACUGCGAAAGCAUUUGCCAAGAAUGUCUUCAUUAAUCAAGAACGAAAGUCA
Molecule: ribosomal RNA, 788 nt
Filed under: Hysterothylacium aduncum
Lineage: Eukaryota; Metazoa; Nematoda; Chromadorea; Rhabditida; Raphidascarididae
Description: SSU rRNA
Rfam family: Eukaryotic small subunit ribosomal RNA
Source: RNAcentral